This 119-nucleotide ribosomal RNA is filed under the name Pteropus alecto (black flying fox). Lineage: Eukaryota; Metazoa; Chordata; Mammalia; Chiroptera; Pteropodidae. The record is from RNAcentral.
CUCUAUGGCCAUGCCACCCUGAACACGCCCAAGCCCGACUGAUCUCGGAAGCUAAGCAGGGUCGGGCCCGGUUAGUACUUGGAUGGGAGACCACCUAGGAAGACCAGGUGCUGUAGGCG